RNAcentral lists this ribosomal RNA (433 nucleotides) under uncultured bacterium. RNAcentral's name for it is "partial 16S ribosomal RNA". It matches the Rfam family "Bacterial small subunit ribosomal RNA", at positions 29 to 507 of the family's 1533-position model. The record is from RNAcentral.
AACGAACGCUGGCGGCAUGCCUAGCACAUGCAAGUCGAACGAGACCUUCGGGUCUAGUGGCGCACGGGUGCGUAACGCGUGGGAAUCUGCCCUUGGGUUCGGAAUAACAGUUGGAAACGACUGCUAAUACCGGAUGAUGACGUAAGUCCAAAGAUUUAUCGCCCAAGGAUGAGCCCGCGUAGGAUUAGCUAGUUGGUGAGGUAAAGGCUCACCAAGGCGACGAUCCUUAGCUGGUCUGAGAGGAUGAUCAGCCACACUGGGACUGAGACACGGCCCAGACUCCUACGGGAGGCAGCAGUGGGGAAUAUUGGACAAUGGGCGAAAGCCUGAUCCAGCAAUGCCGCGUGAGUGAUGAAGGCCUUAGGGUUGUAAAGCUCUUUUACCCGGGAUGAUAAUGACAGUACCGGGAGAAUAAGCUCCGGCUAACUCCGUG